Spodoptera frugiperda (fall armyworm) is the source of this 473-nucleotide long non-coding RNA. RefSeq lists it as uncharacterized. The record is from RefSeq and is a predicted model, not a curated record. The transcript has 3 exons. NCBI's taxonomy places the organism in Eukaryota, Metazoa, Arthropoda, Insecta, Lepidoptera, Noctuidae.
GGCAAAGUGAUUUCUCCACGACGAUUCCAUACGAUGCGACUGCACGGUUGGUGCGGUGACUGGGUAACCGGCUGCCGCGCAACGUGUAGCGGGUCCGAUUCCCGCACGGAGCAACUCUUUGUGUGAUUUACAAAUUGUUGUUUUGGAUCUGAGUGCCCAGUUGUUGGGAGACGGAUCUGUUUCAGCGAGUCCAACUCCACAAGAAGCAGCCCCGACACCACAGGACCCGCUGAAUACUGGAACUGUUAAUGGAAACCCGAAUCCAGCGCCUCCAAACGCAGAGUCCGAACAACCACAGCAACAAACAGUGGCUAACCCUCAGCGACAACCCGUGGCUACCCCUCAGCAACAACCCGUGGCUACCCCUCAGCAACAACCCGUGGCUACCCCUCAGCAACAACCCGUGGCUACCCCUCAGCAACAACCCGUGGCUAAACCUCAGCAACAACCCGUGGCUACCCCUCAGCAACAAC